This 477-nucleotide ribosomal RNA is filed under the name uncultured bacterium. Its description in RNAcentral is "partial 16S ribosomal RNA". It matches the Rfam family "Bacterial small subunit ribosomal RNA", at positions 30 to 507 of the family's 1533-position model. The record is from RNAcentral.
AUUGAACGCUGGCGGUAUGCCUUACACAUGCAAGUCGAACGGCAGCAGGGUAAGCGCUCGCGUUGAGAGGGGGCGAGUGAUGUAUCGGAACGGGCUACGUCGGGGUGUAUUAUUGCGCGGAGGAGCAGGUAGUGCCGCAUACGCCCUUAGGGCGUACGCGGGGCAUGGCAAGACCUCGCGUCUUCGGACCUGCCGAUAUCAGAUGAGGUAGUUGGGGAGGUAAAGGCUCACCAAGCCGACGAUCCGUAGCUGGUCUGAGAGGACGAGCAGCCACACUGGGACUGAGACACGGCCCAGACUCCUACGGGAGGCAGCAGUGGGGAAUAUUGGACAAUGGGCGCAAGCCUGAUCCAGCCAUACCGCGUGCGUGAAGAAGGCCUUCGGGUUGUAAAGCGCUUUUGUUAGGGAAGAAAAGCAGCUGGCUAAUACCUCGCUGUUAUGACGGUACCCAAAGAAUAAGCACCGGCUAACUUCGUG